CUGGUUGCACUAAGUCGGCUUGUCAGCAAGCCACAGGAAUCCUCCUGUCUCUGCCUCCCCAGUACUGGGAUUACAAGAAUGCUCCAGCAUGCCCAGCUUUUCUAUUUUUAACAUGGAUUCUGGGGAUUAAAUUUAGGUGCUCAGCUUUGGACGGAAAGCAUUUUCUGGCUGAGUAUCACACCAGCCUUCCGUUUACCUUUGAGGCAAUUGCUGGUAUUCUUUGAUAACCCCUUCCUCCAACUAUUCAUCUCAUGUGUAAUCUUGGGAAAGUAGAAAUUGUUUAUUAUUUUGAAGAUAAAACAUAGAAAAGAAAAUGCAUUGACCCAUAGUUUCCUCACUAAACAUUUAAUAAUUUGGAGUGCAGGCUGAAUUAUUAUGGUUCAGGGGACAAACCCAGGGACUUGCACAGGUAAGCAAGCGUUCUGCCACUGAGCUACACCCUUAGACCUAAACGUUCUAUUUUAGUGUUUAUAAGAGUAAUUUGCUCGGUUUACAAACUCACAGUUCCAGCAUUUACUUAUGAACUGAGUUUAUUUCUCCUAACUUAUAAAUUUUAUUUUGAGUAGUUCAAGACACAUUGUUUCUUAAGAGGAAGGCAUGGUUAGUGUAAGCCAUCUGACCUAGCCAUAAUAGAAACUGCAAGUCAGAGAUUGCUGUGGAUUAUCUACAAUGGGUACAUGCCCUCUAGUAUUUAAAGUCUACUUGACAUGCUUUUUAAAAGUGUUUUGAGGUAGUUUUAACAUUUGAAACAGUAGAACUUUGUGAAUCAGCAUAUUAGCAAGCGUGAGGGAGUAUAUAUUCUCCUUCAUAUCCCUUUAUGUCAGGUUAUGUAGGUUUUCUAAUGUGGAGUUACUGGGAGUAUUAGAAUGAUGAUUCAUGUACCAACCCUGUGUAGCUUACAUAAAAGGAAUUUUAUUUACAUUCUGCUCAUGUAGAAAGGUUACCAUGUCAUUUCACUAAAAUAACCAUAUAAAACAUAAAGUAGAUAUACGUGUAAAUAAAUUGUAUUAUGUAUAAACUAUAUCUAGGUAAAAGUGUUCUUCAUUAAAAUGAAUUUUAAAAUGUAGAAACCUGGUGCUGGAGAGAUGGCUUAGCAGUUAAGACUUCUUAUGGCUCAUCCACAGUUCUCAAGUUCAACACCAUGUGAGCAGCUCUUAAUCUAGUGCACUUUCCUGGCUUCCUGUUGACAAGUGUAGAAUACACUGAGAUACACACUCACAGACACAUAACGUUUCAGGUUCUUUUCUUAAAAAUGUAGAAACCUAGACAAAUGGAAGACAGAACAUUUCUCUGUUUUUCUUUUUAAAUUUUUAUGUCUGCAUGCAGGCUUGGUAGUACAUGCUAAUAAUCCCAACACUUGUGCGGGGUGUGGGGGGUGCUAAGGUAGGAGGAUCGAGAGUAGAUGGCCAUGCACUGCCACAUAGCAAGUUUGAGACCAGUCAUGUAAGACUCCCAUCUCUAAAAUGCCACUAUAUUCCUGAGUCCGUGCCCUUUUAGAAGAGUGAGUGCAUUUUAACAAAAAGUACUAUUGAAUGUACUUUCUCUACAUUGUCUUGGUGGUUUUCCAGCAGUACUGUUUUAUAUGCAGCUUCUUGUUGGUAUAUUAUUGAGACAGUUCUGUAGUUAAGUGUAGUUGCAAAAGAUUUAGAAGAUCAUGUAUUCACUUUUGUGGGAGAGCAGAGACAACUAGAAAUCAG
This 1697-nucleotide long non-coding RNA is filed under the name Mus musculus (house mouse). RNAcentral describes it as "long non-coding RNA chr1:82748388-82750085". Lineage: Eukaryota; Metazoa; Chordata; Mammalia; Rodentia; Muridae. The record is from RNAcentral.